RNAcentral lists this small RNA (701 nucleotides) under Pan troglodytes (chimpanzee). RNAcentral describes it as "sense intronic". Lineage: Eukaryota; Metazoa; Chordata; Mammalia; Primates; Hominidae. The record is from RNAcentral.
GGUCCCAAGAACAUAUCAAUCCUGUGUUAAUAUAAGAAUAUUAUCUUGUCCUCUAGAUAAGCUACCUUACCUUCCAGGCUCACAAACCACAAUUAUGUAGCCAUACUGAGGCAUGGAACAGAAAACUGUAUUUGUUUUGAAUGAGAACACAUUUGCCUUUAUCAGGCCACAGCUGCCUUCCAGGGUAAAGUCAGGCACUGACUGUUAGCAUGGCCCUGAAAGGCAAGGGAACCUUCACAUACCUGACAUUUGGUUUUAGCUGUGGCCCGAAGCAGUAGUUCUCAACUGGGGGUGGUUUUGUACCCUCUCUACCCAGGGGACAUUUGGCAAUGUGUAGAUAUUUUUGGUUGUCACAUCUAGGGGAAGUGGUCCUGCUGGCAUCUAGUUAGUAGAAGCAAGAGUGCUGCUGAAUUUUCUACAAUGCACAGGACAACUCCCACAGUAAAUAUUUGGCUCAAUAUGUCACUAGUGCCAAAGCUGAGAAAGCCUGGCCUAGAGUGAUGGGUCUUCGUGGUUGAAACUAAAAGAAGAAAUUUUCCUGUAUAGUAGAAAUGGAUUUUUAUUUUAGCUUUUAAAAAUAAAAAAGGGGAAUAAGUAGAAUAUAAUGAACACUCAAAUAUCCACAAGUAAUCAUUGUUAAUAUUUCAUUAUAUUUAAGACUUGGGAUUUAAUUGGUUUCUUCAAAUAAAACGUUUAGUUAA